AAGUCGUAACAAGGUUUCCGUAGGUGAACCUGCGGAAGGAUCAUUACCGAGUUCAUGCCCCUUGGGGUAGAUCUCCCACCCUGCUUAUCUUACUUGCGUUGCUUUGGCGGGUCGACCGCUCAGGCCGCUGGCAAUUCGCUGGUGCGCGCCCGCCAAAGGCCCCAAAACCCUGAUGGUCAACGUGGCGUCCGAGUAGUACACAAAUAGUUAAAACUUUCAACAACGGAUCUCUUGGUUCUG
Molecule: unclassified non-coding RNA, 240 nt
Filed under: Helotiales sp.
Lineage: Eukaryota; Fungi; Ascomycota; Leotiomycetes; Helotiales
Description: partial contains small subunit ribosomal RNA, internal transcribed spacer 1, and 5.8S ribosomal RNA
Rfam family: Eukaryotic small subunit ribosomal RNA (bases 1-46)
Source: RNAcentral